This 253-nucleotide ribosomal RNA is filed under the name uncultured bacterium. RNAcentral describes it as "partial 16S ribosomal RNA". It matches the Rfam family "Bacterial small subunit ribosomal RNA", at positions 524 to 776 of the family's 1533-position model. The record is from RNAcentral.
UACGUAGGCAGCAAGCGUUGUUCGGAGUUACUGGGCGUAAAGGGUGUGUAGGCGGUUGUUUAGGUUUGGUGUGAAAUCUCCCGGCUCAACUGGGAGGGUGCGCCGAAUACUGAAUGACUAGAGUGCGGGAGAGGAAAGUGGAAUUCCUGGUGUAGCGGUGAAAUGCGUAGAUAUCAGGAGGAACACCGGUGGUGUAGACGGCUUUCUGGACCGUAACUGACGCUGAGACACGAAAGCGUGGGUAGCAAACAGG